UGAGGAAUAUUGCGCAAUGGGGGCAACCCUGACGCAGCAACGCCGCGUGAGUGAGGAAGGUUUUCGGAUUGUAAAGCUCUGUCGAGCGGAAAGAAAUGCAUUAUGGCUAAUAUCCAUAGUGCUUGACGGUACCGCUAAAGGAAGCACCGGCUAACUCCGUGCCAGCAGCCGCGGUAAUACGGGGGGUGCAAGCGUUGUUCGGAAUCAUUGGGCGUAAAGCGCGUGUAGGAGGCUUGACAAGUCAGAUGUGAAAUCCCGGGGCUUAAUUCAGGAAUUGCAUUUGAAACUGUCAGGCGAGAGUAAGGGAGAGGAAAGUGGAAUUCCUGGUGUAGAGGUGAAAUUCGUAGAUAUCAGGAGGAACACCGGUGGCGAAGGCGACUUUCUGGCCCUAUACUGACGCUGAGACGCGAAAGCGUGGGUAGCAAACA
Molecule: ribosomal RNA, 428 nt
Filed under: uncultured prokaryote
Description: bacterial SSU rRNA
Rfam family: Bacterial small subunit ribosomal RNA
Source: RNAcentral